RNAcentral lists this ribosomal RNA (426 nucleotides) under uncultured bacterium. Its description in RNAcentral is "partial 16S ribosomal RNA". It matches the Rfam family "Bacterial small subunit ribosomal RNA", at positions 354 to 796 of the family's 1533-position model. The record is from RNAcentral.
GUGAGGAAUUUUCCGCAAUGGGCGAAAGCCUGACGGAGCAAUGCCGCGUGAAGGAUGAAGGCCUAUGGGUUGUAAACUUCUUUUCUUAGAGAAGAAUAUUGACGGUAUCUGAGGAAUAAGCAUCGGCUAACUCUGUGCCAGCAGCCGCGGUAAGACAGAGGAUGCAAGCGUUAUACGGAAUGAUUGGGCGUAAAGCGUCUGUAGGUGGCUUCAAAAGUCUCCUGUCAAAGAUCAGGGCUUAACCCUGGGCCGGCAGGAGAAACACUGAGGGUAGAGUUUGGUAGGGGCAGAGGGAGUUCCCGGUGGAGCGGUGAAAUGCGUAGAGAUCGGGAGGAACACCAAAGGCGAAAGCACUCUGCUGGGCCACAACUGACACUGAGAGACGAAAGCGAGGGGAGCAAAAGGGAUUAGAAACCCUGGUAGUCC